This 823-nucleotide ribosomal RNA is filed under the name Escherichia coli. Its description in RNAcentral is "partial 23S ribosomal RNA". It matches the Rfam family "Bacterial large subunit ribosomal RNA", at positions 1 to 867 of the family's 2925-position model. The record is from RNAcentral. Lineage: Bacteria; Pseudomonadati; Pseudomonadota; Gammaproteobacteria; Enterobacterales; Enterobacteriaceae.
GGUUAAGCGACUAAGCGUACACGGUGGAUGCCCUGGCAGUCAGAGGCGAUGAAGGACGUGCUAAUCUGCGAUAAGCGUCGGUAAGGUGAUAUGAACCGUUAUAACCGGCGAUUUCCGAAUGGGGAAACCCAGUGUGAUUCGUCACACUAUCAUUAACUGAAUCCAUAGGUUAAUGAGGCGAACCGGGGGAACUGAAACAUCUAAGUACCCCGAGGAAAAGAAAUCAACCGAGAUUCCCCCAGUAGCGGCGAGCGAACGGGGAGGAGCCCAGAGCCUGAAUCAGUGUGUGUGUUAGUGGAAGCGUCUGGAAAGGCGCGCGAUACAGGGUGACAGCCCCGUACACAAAAAUGCACAUGCUGUGAGCUCGAUGAGUAGGGCGGGACACGUGGUAUCCUGUCUGAAUAUGGGGGGACCAUCCUCCAAGGCUAAAUACUCCUGACUGACCGAUAGUGAACCAGUACCGUGAGGGAAAGGCGAAAAGAACCCCGGCGAGGGGAGUGAAAAAGAACCUGAAACCGUGUACGUACAAGCAGUGGGAGCCUCUUUAUGGGGUGACUGCGUACCUUUUGUAUAAUGGGUCAGCGACUUAUAUUCUGUAGCAAGGUUAACCGAAUAGGGGAGCCGAAGGGAAACCGAGUCUUAACUGGGCGUUAAGUUGCAGGGUAUAGACCCGAAACCCGGUGAUCUAGCCAUGGGCAGGUUGAAGGUUGGGUAACACUAACUGGAGGACCGAACCGACUAAUGUUGAAAAAUUAGCGGAUGACUUGUGGCUGGGGGUGAAAGGCCAAUCAAACCGGGAGAUAGCUGGUUCUCCCCGAAAGCU